UACGUAGGGGGCAAGCGUUGUCCGGAUUUAUUGGGCGUAAAGGGCGCGCAGGCGGCUACGCACGUCCGUUGUGAAAUCGCUCGGCUCAACUGGGCGGGGUCAGCGGAUACGGCGUAGCUGGAGCAAGCUAGGGGGCAAUGGAAUUCCUGGUGUAGCGGUGAAAUGCGCAGAUAUCAGGAGGAACACCGGUGGCGAAGGCGGGACUCUGGGCCGAUACUGACGCUGAGGAGCGAAAGCGUGGGGAGCAAACAGG
This 253-nucleotide ribosomal RNA is filed under the name uncultured bacterium. RNAcentral describes it as "partial 16S ribosomal RNA". It matches the Rfam family "Bacterial small subunit ribosomal RNA", at positions 524 to 776 of the family's 1533-position model. The record is from RNAcentral.